RNAcentral lists this ribosomal RNA (95 nucleotides) under Veillonella parvula. The record is from RNAcentral. RNAcentral also lists the same sequence under 1 other name. Lineage: Bacteria; Bacillati; Bacillota; Negativicutes; Veillonellales; Veillonellaceae.
UGGUUUUCAGGAUCCACCUGUUCCCAUCUCGAACACAGUAGUUAAGCUCAUAAACGCCGAAAGUACUUGGCUGGAGACGGCCUGGGAGGAUAGGA